GGGGAAUAAUCUAUACACUAAAACUGCUUUAUUUAGCUAAAGUAAUUUAGGUGACUAUAGUGUUCCUUUAACUCUUUCUAAUUACUGCAUCAAAUUUAAUUUCAUUAGUUAAACAAAAUGACACAAAAAGAGACUUUCCUGGCUAAUCAUGGCAGCAUCACUUAUGGGUUAGCUCCGCCCCAAUCAGGUACAGGACAGGAAAAAUCAAUUAAUCUGGAC
Pelobates cultripes (western spadefoot toad) is the source of this 219-nucleotide non-coding RNA. NCBI's taxonomy places the organism in Eukaryota, Metazoa, Chordata, Amphibia, Anura, Pelobatidae. The record is from the annotation of a GenBank genome assembly.